This 2721-nucleotide long non-coding RNA is filed under the name Pan troglodytes (chimpanzee). Its description in RNAcentral is "lincRNA". Lineage: Eukaryota; Metazoa; Chordata; Mammalia; Primates; Hominidae. The record is from RNAcentral.
UUCUUCAGUUCAUGGGAUUUUAUUUCAGGAGAAUUCAAACAUUCACGUAUUGGAGAAGAUGACACAUUUCUUGAAUGUCUUUGGCUUUGAGAUGAAUGCACUAACUAGAAGGGACUUCAGAUUGUCCUCCUUCGGGGGAGGUAAGUAUAUUCUUCAUAUACGGGUAAGAGUGAAAUGAUAGAAGAAUGUUCCUCCUCUCCUUUUCUUCCUGGACAACAGAUCAAAUAUUUCUCAGAUCUUUUACAGCCGAAUUGGAGUCACAUGGACAGGUAUGAUCUUAAAAUAUAAAAAAUUAUUUUAAAAUUACAUGCUAAAAUUUUAUAAAAAUAAAUGCUAAAACUAACUCAAAUGGAAGCAUUUGAUUAAAAAAUUUAUCCAAAAAAGUUUGAAUUUUAUAUGAAACAGGAUAGAAGAUGAAAAAGCUAAAGAAAUAAAAUAUAAAUAAAUUAUGGCUGGGGACAGUGGCUCACACCUGUAAUCCCAGCACUUUGGGAGGCUGAGGUGGGAGGACUGAUUGAGGCUAGGAGUUUGAGACCUGUUAUUUGAGGCACAUGGGAAGGAAAGUUUUCUUUGAGAUAUUCCACAUUUUAUAAUAUUCUUCAAGAGAUUUACAGAGUUCCUUGAGUGAAUUGUUGGUUUGUUCUUAAUACUGAAUUUCCUAUUCAAAUUUAUUUAGAAGUUCAUUUCUUACAGUGAUCUCAUCUCCUAUUAAGAUAUUCUUCAAGGUAGGUUCUUGGCCAGUUUCUCAAUGACAGAUUUUUAAAAAUAUUGUUAAUCUUUUUAUUAAUAUGAGAACAUAAUUGUUCCAGAUCUGGAGGCCAUCCUUUAAACUUCUUGCAACAGUCUGGGAGCAAAGAGUUUACUCGCCACUGGGUAGUGGGCCAUGGACACCCCAGUCUCCACCAGAAGUUCGGGAUUGCAAAAUGGGACUCUGGCAGCAAAUUUCAAACUGUAUGCCAGACCUGGCCCUUUGCAGUGAUAUAAAAUUUUUCUUGAGGUGUCUGGAAAGAUGACUGAAUAGGAACAGCUCCGUUCUGCAGCUCCCAGCGAGAUCAACGCAGAAGGAGAUAAUUUCUGCAUUUCCAACUAAAGUACCCAGCUCAUCUCAUUGGGACUGGUUAGACAGUGGGUGCAGCCCACAGAAGGCAAGCAGAAGCAGGGUGGGGUGUCGCCUCACCCGGGAAGCGCAAGGGGUCAGGGAACUCCCUCCCCUAGCCAAGGGAAGCCGUGAGGGACUGUGCCGUGAGGAACGGGGCAUUCCGGCACAGAUACUAUGCUUUCCCCACGGUCUUUGCAACCCACAGACCAGGAGAUUCCCUUGGGUGCCUAUACCACCAGGGCCCUGGGUUUCAAGCAAAAAACUGGGCAGCCAUUUGGGCAGACACUGAGCUAGCAGCAGGAGUUUUUUUCAUACCCUAGUAGCCCCUAGAAUGCCAGCGAGACAGAACUGUUCACUCCCCUGGAAAGGGGCACUGAAGCCAGGGAGCCAAGUGGUCUAGCUCAGCAGAUCCCACCCCCACGGAGCCCAACAAGCUAAGACCCACUGGGUUGAAAUUCUCACUGCCAGCACAGCAGUCUGAUGUCCACCUGGAAUGCUUGAGCUUGGUGCAGGGAGGGGCGUCUGCCGUUACUGAGGCAUGAUUAGGCAGUUUCCCCCUCACAGUGUAAACAAAGCUGCUGGGAAGUUUGAACUGGGUGGAGCCCACUGCAGCUUGGCAAAGUUGCUGUAGCAAGUGUGUCUCUCUAGAUUCCUCCUCUCUGAGCAGGGCAUCUCUGAAACAAAGGCAGCAGCCCCAGUCAGGGACUUAUAGAUAAAACUCCCAUCUCCCUGGGACAGAGCACCUGGGGGAAGGGGCAGCUGUGGGCACAGCUUCAAGACACUUAAAUGUUCCUGCCUGCUGGCUCUGAAGAGAGCAGCAGAUCUCCCAGCACAGUGCUCGAGUUCUGCUAAGGGACAGACUGCCUCCUCAAGUGGGUCCCUGACCCCUGUGCCUCCGGAGUGGGAGAGACCUUCCAGCAGGGGUCAACAGAAAUCUGGUGGGUGCCCGUCUGAGACGAAGCUUCCAGAGGAAGGAACAGGCAGCAAUCUGUGCUGUUCUGUAGCCUGCGUUGGUGAUACCCAGGUAAACAGGGUCUCGAGUGGAUCUCCAGCAAACUCCAGCAGACCUGCAGCAGAGGGGCCUGACUGUUAGAAGGAAAACUAACAAGCAGAAAGGAAUAGCGUCAACAUCAACAAAAAGGACAUCCACACAAAAACCCCAUCGGAAGGUCGCCAGCAUCAAAGACCAAAGGUAGAUAAAUCCAUGAAGAUGAGGAAAAACCAGUGCAAAAAGGCUGAAAAUUCCAAAAACCAGAACACCUUUUCUCCUGCAAAGGAUCACAACUCCUUGCCAGCAAGAGAACAAAACUGGAUGGAGAAUGAGUUUGACGAAUUUACAGGAGGAGGCUUCAGAAGGUCGGUAAUAACAAACUCCUCUGAGCUAAAGGAGCAUGUUCUAACCCAAUGCAAGGAAGCUAAAAAUGAAAAAAGGCUGGAGGAAUUGCUAACUAGAAUAACCACUUUAGAGAAGAACAUAAAUGAUCUGAUGGAGCUGAAAAACACAGCACGAGAACUUCGUGAAGCAUACAGAAGUAUCAAUAGCUGAAUUGAUCAAGCAGAAGAAAGGAUAUCAGAGAUUGAAGAUCAACUUAAUGACACAAAGUGUGACGUCAAGAUUAGAG